This 465-nucleotide ribosomal RNA is filed under the name Vreelandella stevensii. Its description in RNAcentral is "partial 16S ribosomal RNA". It matches the Rfam family "Bacterial small subunit ribosomal RNA", at positions 338 to 795 of the family's 1533-position model. The record is from RNAcentral. Lineage: Bacteria; Pseudomonadati; Pseudomonadota; Gammaproteobacteria; Oceanospirillales; Halomonadaceae.
CCUACGGGUGGCUGCAGUGGGGAAUAUUGGACAAUGGGGGGAACCCCGAUCCAGCCAUGCCGCGUGUGUGAAGAAGGCCCUCGGGUUGUAAAGCACUUUCAGUGAGGAAGAACGCCUGGUGGUUAAUACCCAUCAGGAAAGACAUCACUCACAGAAGAAGCACCGGCUAACUCCGUGCCAGCAGCCGCGGUAAUACGGAGGGUGCGAGCGUUAAUCGGAAUUACUGGGCGUAAAGCGCGCGUAGGUGGCUUGAUAAGCCGGUUGUGAAAGCCCCGGGCUCAACCUGGGAACGGCAUCCGGAACUGUCAAGCUAGAGUGCAGGAGAGGAAGGUAGAAUUCCCGGUGUAGCGGUGAAAUGCGUAGAGAUCGGGAGGAAUACCAGUGGCGAAGGCGGCCUUCUGGACUGACACUGACACUGAGGUGCGAAAGCGUGGGUAGCAAACAGGAUUAGAUACCCCUGUAGUC